UAUCAAUGAUGCAAACUUUGUCUGUUUCUCCUAUUUACUUGAAAGUGAUGAUAUAGUGUAUCUGACAAGA
Molecule: small nucleolar RNA, 70 nt
Organism: Sorex fumeus (smoky shrew)
Lineage: Eukaryota; Metazoa; Chordata; Mammalia; Eulipotyphla; Soricidae
Source: RefSeq, a predicted model, not a curated record